Molecule: ribosomal RNA, 867 nt
Filed under: uncultured marine bacterium
Lineage: Bacteria
Description: bacterial SSU rRNA
Rfam family: Bacterial small subunit ribosomal RNA
Source: RNAcentral
GAAGAACGCUAGCGGCAGGCCUUAUACAUGCAAGUCGAGGGGCAGCAUUUACUUCGGUAAAUGGCGACCGGCGCACGGGUGAGUAACGCGUAUGCAACCUACCUUUAACUGGGGCAUAGCUCGAGGAAACUCGAAUUAAUUCCCCAUAGUACAUUAUAAUAUCUCAUGAUAUAAAUGUUAAAGAUUUAUCGGUUAAAGAUGGGCAUGCGUCUGAUUAGUUUGUUGGUAAGGUAACGGCUUACCAAGACUACGAUCAGUAGGGGGUCUGAGAGGAUGACCCCCCACACUGGUACUGAGACACGGACCAGACAUCUACGGAUGGCAGCAGUAAGGAAUAUUGGGCAAUGGGCGCAAGCCUGACCCAGCCAUGCCGCGUGCAGGAUGACGACCCUAUGGGUUGUAAACUGCUUUUAUAUAGGAAGAAAAUACUCUUGCGAGAGAAACUGACGGUACUAUAUGAAUAAGGACCGGCUAACUCCGUGCCAGCAGCCGCGGUAAUACGGAGGGUUCAAGCGUUUUCCGGAUUUAUUGGGUUUAAAGAGUGCGUAGGUGGUUUAUUAAGUCGGUGGUGAAAUCCUGCAGCUCAACUGUAGAACUGCCAUUGAUACUGGUAAACUUGAGUUUGGUUUAGGUAAGCGGAAUUUAUGAUGUAGCGGUGAAAUGCAUAGAUAUCAUAAGGAACACCAAUAGCGAAGGCAGCUUACUGGACCACAACUGACACUGAGGCACGAAAGCGUGGGUAGCGAACAGGAUUAGAUACCCUGGUAGUCCACGCCGUAAACGAUGCUCACUCGAUGUUAGCGAUAUACCGUUAGCGUCCAAGCUAAAGCGUUAAGUGAGCCACCUGGGGAGUACGCCGGCAACGGU